UAAUAACUUAUUAAUGGAGUUGGAAAAUACGAACAAUAGUUUAAACACCAAAGAAUUUGGCGGUAUCUUAUUUAAUUAGGGGAACCUGUCCCAUAAUCGAUAAUCCACGAAAGUCUUACCUAAUUUUGAAACUCAGUUAGUGUACUGCCGUCUCAAGUAUACCUUUAUGAGAGUAUACAAUAAAUUAUAAAUAAAUAGGACGUCAGGUCAAAGUGCUGCUUAUAAUUAGGAUGGAGAUGGGUUACAAACUUAAUAGAGAUAUGGAAAAAUAUAUUAAAUAUAUAUUUAAAAAGUGGACUUAAUAGUAAUUAAAUAAUAAUUUAAUGAAUAUAAUACUAAGAUAUGC
RNAcentral lists this ribosomal RNA (346 nucleotides) under Theromyzon rude. RNAcentral's name for it is "partial 12S ribosomal RNA". Lineage: Eukaryota; Metazoa; Annelida; Clitellata; Rhynchobdellida; Glossiphoniidae. The record is from RNAcentral.